CUGGCGGCGUGCUUUAUGCAUGCAAGUCGAACGGUCUUGAUUUAUCAAGGUAGUGGCGAACGGGUGAGUAACACGUAAGUAACCUGCCCUAAAGUGGAGAAGUAAACUUCGGGAAACUGAGGCUAAUACUGCAUGUGAUGGCAGAGGUAGAGCUUUGUCAUUAAAGCCUUCGGGCGCUUUUGGAGGGGCUUGCGUUCGAUUAGCUAGUUGGUAGGGUAACGGCCUACCAAGGCGACGAUCGAUAGCUGGUCUGAGAGGAUGAUCAGCCACACUGGGACUGAGACACGGCCCAGACUCCUACGGGAGGCAGCAGCAAGGAAUUUUGUGCAAUGGGCGAAAGCCUGAACCACAGCAACGCCGCGUGAGGGAUGACGGCCUUCGGGUUGUAAACCUCUUUUCUCAGGGAAGAAUAAUGACGGUACCUGAGGAAUAAGCUUCGGCUAACUACGUGCCAGCAGCCGC
RNAcentral lists this ribosomal RNA (462 nucleotides) under uncultured bacterium. Its description in RNAcentral is "bacterial SSU rRNA". It matches the Rfam family "Bacterial small subunit ribosomal RNA", at positions 36 to 518 of the family's 1533-position model. The record is from RNAcentral.